GUUAAAAAGCUCGUAGUUGGAUUUCUGUUGAGGGCGACCGGUGUACACCUCGUGUAUUAUUUGGUUCGGUCUCGGCAUCCUCUUGGGGAACGUUUCUGGACUUUAUUGGACAGGGCGAGAUUCAAGACUUUUACUUUGAGGAAAUUAGAGUGUUCACGGCAGGCAAGCGCUUUGAAUACAUUAGCAUGGAAUAAUAAUAUAGGACCUUCGUUCUAUUUUGUUGGUUUCUAGACUAGGGUAAGUGAUCAAUAGGGAUAAUUGGGGGCAUUUGUAUCAACACGUCAGAGGUGAAAUUCUUGGAUUGUGUUACGACGAUCCACUGCGAAAGCAUUUGCCAAGGAUGUUUUCAUUGAUCAAGAACGAAAGUGCAGGGAUCGAAGACGAUUAGAUACCGUCGUAGUCUGCACCGUAAACUAUGCCGAUUAAAGAUUGGAGGUCGUUCUUAUUGUGGCUCCUUCAGUAAUUUAUGAGAAAUCAAAAUUCUUGAGUUCCGGGGGGAGUAUGGUCGCAAGGCUGAAACUUAAAGGA
RNAcentral lists this ribosomal RNA (528 nucleotides) under uncultured marine eukaryote. RNAcentral describes it as "bacterial SSU rRNA". It matches the Rfam family "Eukaryotic small subunit ribosomal RNA", at positions 618 to 1151 of the family's 1831-position model. The record is from RNAcentral.